RNAcentral lists this ribosomal RNA (253 nucleotides) under uncultured Acidobacteriota bacterium. RNAcentral's name for it is "uncultured Acidobacteria bacterium partial 16S ribosomal RNA". It matches the Rfam family "Bacterial small subunit ribosomal RNA", at positions 524 to 776 of the family's 1533-position model. Lineage: Bacteria; Pseudomonadati; Acidobacteriota. The record is from RNAcentral.
UACGUAGGCAGCAAGCGUUGUUCGGAGUUACUGGGCGUAAAGGGUGCGUAGGCGGCUUUUUAAGUUUGGUGUGAAAUCUCCCGGCUCAACUGGGAGGGUGCGCCGAAUACUGAGAGGCUAGAGUGUCGGAGAGGUAAGUGGAAUUCCUGGUGUAGCGGUGAAAUGCGUAGAUAUCAGGAGGAACACCGGUGGUGUAAACGGCUUACUGGACGAUAACUGACGCUGAUGCACGAAAGCGUGGGUAGCAAACAGG